UGGGGAAUAUUGGACAAUGGGGGGAACCCUGAUCCAGCCAUGCCGCGUGUGUGAAGAAGGCCUUAUGGUUGUAAAGCACUUUAAGCGAGGAGGAGGGUACUGGUAUUAAUACUACCAGCUACUGGACGUUACUCGCAGAAUAAGCACCGGCUAACUCUGUGCCAGCAGCCGCGGUAAUACAGAGGGUGCGAGCGUUAAUCGGAUUUACUGGGCGUAAAGCGUGCGUAGGCGGCUAAUUGAGUCGGAUGUGAAAUCCCCGAGCUUACCUUGGGAAUUGCAUUCGAUACUGGUUAGCUAGAGUGUGGGAGAGGGUGGUAGAAUUCCAGGUGUAGCGGUGAAAUGCGUGGAGAUCUGGAGGAAUACCGAUGGCGAAGGCAGCCAUCUGGCCUAACACUGACGCUGAGGUACGAAAGCAUGGGGAGCAAACAGG
RNAcentral lists this ribosomal RNA (430 nucleotides) under Pseudomonadota bacterium. RNAcentral's name for it is "Proteobacteria bacterium partial 16S ribosomal RNA". It matches the Rfam family "Bacterial small subunit ribosomal RNA", at positions 355 to 776 of the family's 1533-position model. The record is from RNAcentral. Lineage: Bacteria; Pseudomonadati; Pseudomonadota.